AGUGAACGCUGGCGGUAGGCCUAACACAUGCAAGUCGAACGGCAGCACAGUAAGAGCUUGCUCUUACGGGUGGCGAGUGGCGGACGGGUGAGGAAUACAUCGGAAUCUACUUUUUCGUGGGGGAUAACGUAGGGAAACUUACGCUAAUACCGCAUACGACCUACGGGUGAAAGCAGGGGAUCUUCGGACCUUGCGCGAUUGAAUGAGCCGAUGUCGGAUUAGCUAGUUGGCGGGGUAAAGGCCCACCAAGGCGACGAUCCGUAGCUGGUCUGAGAGGAUGAUCAGCCACACUGGAACUGAGACACGGUCCAGACUCCUACGGGAGGCAGCAGUGGGGAAUAUUGGACAAUGGGCGCAAGCCUGAUCCAGCCACACCGCGUGGGUGAAGAAGGCCUUCGGGUUGUAAAGCCCUUUUGUUGGGAAAGAAAAGCAGCAGGUUAAUACCCCGCUGUUCUGACAGUACCCAAAGAAUAAGCACCGGCUAACUUCGUG
Molecule: ribosomal RNA, 492 nt
Filed under: uncultured bacterium
Lineage: Bacteria
Description: partial 16S ribosomal RNA
Rfam family: Bacterial small subunit ribosomal RNA
Source: RNAcentral